ACGGAGGGUGCAAGCGUUAAUCGGAAUUACUGGGCGUAAAGCGCGCGUAGGCGGUUUGAUAAGCAGGAUGUGAAAGCCCUGGGCUUAACCUAGGAAUGGCAUUCUGAACUGUCUGACUGGAGUAUGGUAGAGGGUAGUGGAAUUUCCUGUGUAGCGGUGAAAUGCGUAGAUAUAGGAAGGAACACCAGUGGCGAAGGCGACUACCUGGACCAAUACUGACGCUGAGGUGCGAAAGCGUGGGGAGCAAACAGG
This 252-nucleotide ribosomal RNA is filed under the name uncultured bacterium. Its description in RNAcentral is "partial 16S ribosomal RNA". It matches the Rfam family "Bacterial small subunit ribosomal RNA", at positions 525 to 776 of the family's 1533-position model. The record is from RNAcentral.